This 31-nucleotide non-coding RNA is filed under the name Mus musculus (house mouse). The record is from RNAcentral. Lineage: Eukaryota; Metazoa; Chordata; Mammalia; Rodentia; Muridae.
UGCCAAUCUCCUUAAGUGUCCACCAGGACCU